This 460-nucleotide ribosomal RNA is filed under the name uncultured bacterium. Its description in RNAcentral is "partial 16S ribosomal RNA". It matches the Rfam family "Bacterial small subunit ribosomal RNA", at positions 338 to 795 of the family's 1533-position model. The record is from RNAcentral.
CCUACGGGAGGCAGCAGUGAGGAAUCUUGGUCAAUGGACGAGAGUCUGAACCAGCCAAGUAGCGUGAAGGAUGACUGCCCUAUGGGUUGUAAACUUCUUUUAUAUGGGAAUAAAAUGUUCCACGUGUGGGAUUUUGUAUGUACCAUAUGUAUAAGGAUCGGCUAACUCCGUGCCAGCAGCCGCGGUAAUACGGAGGAUGCGAGCGUUAUCCGGAUUUAUUGGGUUUAAAGGGAGCGUAGGUGGAUUGUUAAGUCAGUUGUGAAAGUUUGCGGCUCAACCGUAGAAUUGCAGUUGAAACUGGCAGUCUUGAGUACAGUAGAGGUGGGCGGAAUUCGUGGUGUAGCGGUGAAAUGCUUAGAUAUCACGAAGAACUCCGAUUGCGAAGGCAGUUCACUGGACUGCAACUGACACUGAGGCUCGAAAGUGUGGGUAUCAAACAGGAUUAGAUACCCCUGUAGUC